Salvia splendens (bonfire salvia) is the source of this 1146-nucleotide long non-coding RNA. RefSeq lists it as uncharacterized. The transcript has 2 exons. NCBI's taxonomy places the organism in Eukaryota, Viridiplantae, Streptophyta, Magnoliopsida, Lamiales, Lamiaceae. The record is from RefSeq and is a predicted model, not a curated record.
CUGGACAUUGUUAUUCACUUCAAUCGCUCUAGAAAUAUCAAAUUAUCUUAUUUUUCUUUUUUCGUGUUUUACUUUCUUUUGUAACCCUAAAUCUUGGUUUGAUCGACGGGCAAAGCUCCCGCGACUACCGUUUAUCGUGUAAAGGGAACUUCACCCUUAAAAGGAGAUUACCUUCUUCAAGAGUAGUUGCUGUUCUUGAGUUUCUUGUUUCUAGAAUUUGAAAUUCUCCUACUUACUCCCUGAUUCCUUGUUGAAAAGUUGGGGAAAAAGAUGAGCUUGAGUUUUAACAUAGAGGGUUUGUGAAGAUGAGAAGAAUGGUUGUUACCUAUGGAGAGUAGGAACUCCUUGCAAGAACUCUGCAGAGACUCUACUCACUCACUCAAAACACUACACUCUCAACUUGUUAUGUUGCUGAAAUUAUCGAACAAGAGGGAGGGGUCUUGGGAAGUGGUGUGGAGAUGGUUUUUAUAGCCAAACUCGUGUACUUGUGCAGCAUUAACUUGAGCUGUUGUAUGCCUUGUUUUCUUUCUGCAGCAACUUCAACUGCAACUUGGCUCCAUGUGUGUACCUAGUACUUUAGUUAAUAAAUGGAACUUGUUGGUUGUGGCAGGUGCACAACAAGAGGGAUGCAGGGUUGUUAAUUGCAAUCUGUAGAGCUGCUGCAGUUGUCCCCUUUCUUCUUAACUUGGAGCAGCCUUGGGUUAUGGCUGGGAGUGCAGUGGCUGUUGAAGCUGGAGUGCAGAGCUGCUGCAGCUUAGCUUUCCUCCCUUUUUCUGGCUCGUGGCAGCCUGUGGUGAUGGCUGAGGGAGGGUGCAGGAGCUUGUAGCAACCUAUCUUUGCCUAAUUUGGCAAUCCUUUGGUCUUCAUUAAAAGGGGUGGGAAAGACGUGGUUGGGCUGGAAGGCGGGCCUUCCGCAACAUGGGCUUGCUGCCCUCGGCCCGACGGGCUGAUCGGAGACGAGGUCGCGGUGUGGUGUGGUUUGGCUCGGGAAACGAAUAGAUUCAAGACGUUUUCACCUUGACAUCCUUAUGUAUUAUUUUCUUUAUUUUUUUAUUUUUUUUUUAGCUAAGACAUAGCUUGGAAUGUAACAAUGUUGUAUUUUAUUCACUUAAGGAAUAACGAAUGUGUAUUCAUUCUUGAUUCAAA